This is a non-coding RNA of Peromyscus maniculatus bairdii (prairie deer mouse), 632 nucleotides long. Lineage: Eukaryota; Metazoa; Chordata; Mammalia; Rodentia; Cricetidae. The record is from RefSeq and is a predicted model, not a curated record.
GUGGUCGGCGAAAGCGGAAGUGACACACAACGGGGCCAUGGGCGUCGCCUUACAGGGGGCGUGGCCGCUGUGCAUUUGACCCUGACCGGGAGGCGUGGCUCUUAGCUGGAGUUAUGAAGGGUACCGCCGUCUCCCUGGUAACACCUCGGUACUUGGAUGUGGCUUUUCAUCGUCUCCUCUUACGCCUGCGGCAGAUCGAGGGGCCCUCGGCCUGAGAAAUGCCCACUUCCUUCGCGGUUGUCCUUUCACAGGUGGUCAGGGGGCAGGCUGGACAGCGGCGUCCGCACUGGAGUCGCCGCAAUGAAAGGUCCUCUGCGAGUGUGCAGAACCUCUUUAGGCCUCUUGGACCAGGCUGGCUACACGGGGGACUGCCUGGUUCAACACCCCUACCCAUCGUGACCCCUGGCCUGUCUGGUUGGCACCAUCUCAGGUGGCAGUGCGAUCCAAAGAGUGCCCAGGAGAUUGGAGUUUAAUGAUGAUCUAGGUACCAGGACUCGCUUGUUGGACCAACAUGGGCUCUGGACCAUGGCAAUACCUGCUGUGCUGAGUCUUGUUCCUUCUGUCUUUGAGUUCGUCAACGGUGGCCCACUUGCAGAGUGGGGCAUCUAAUAAAAAUGCCCUUAUCCCUCUCC